GGAUGAACGCUGGCGGCGUGCUUAACACAUGCAAGUCGAACGAAGAUAUUUAGAAUGAGAGCUUCGGCAGGAUUUUUAUCUAUCUUAGUGGCGGACGGGUGAGUAACGUGUGGGCAACCUGCCCUGUACUGGGGAAUAAUCAUUGGAAACGAUGACUAAUACCGCAUGUGGUCCUCGGAAGGCAUCUUCUGAGGAAGAAAGGAUUUAUUCGGUACAGGAUGGGCCCGCAUCUGAUUAGCUAGUUGGUGAGAUAACAGCCCACCAAGGCGACGAUCAGUAGCCGACCUGAGAGGGUGAUCGGCCACAUUGGGACUGAGACACGGCCCAAACUCCUACGGGAGGCAGCAGUGGGGAAUAUUGCACAAUGGGCGAAAGCCUGAUGCAGCAACGCCGCGUGAAGGAUGAAGGGUUUCGGCUCGUAAACUUCUAUCAAUAGGGAAGAAACAAAUGACGGUACCUAAAUAAGAAGCCCCGGCUAACUACGUGCCAGCAGCCGCGGUAAUACGUAGGGGGCAAGCGUUAUCCGGAAUUACUGGGUGUAAAGGGAGCGUAGGCGGCAUGGUAAGCCAGAUGUGAAAGCCUUGGGCUUAACCCGAGGAUUGCAUUUGGAACUAUCAAGCUAGAGUACAGGAGAGGAAAGCGGAAUUCCUAGUGUAGCGGUGAAAUGCGUAGAUAUUAGGAAGAACACCAGUGGCGAAGGCGGCUUUCUGGACUGAAACUGACGCUGAGGCUCGAAAGCGUGGGGGAGCAAACAGGAUUAGAUACCCUGGUAGUCCACGCCGUAAACGAUGAGUGCUAGGUGUCGGGGAGGAAUCCUCGGUGCCGCAGCUAACGCAAUAAGCACUCCACCUGGGGAGUACGACCGCAAGGUUGAAACUCAAAGGAAUUGACGGGGGCCCGCACAAGCGGUGGAGCAUGUGGUUUAAUUCGAAGCAACGCGAAGAACCUUACCAAGGCUUGACAUCCCGAUGACCGUCCUAGAGAUAGGACUUCUCUUCGGAGCAUCGGUGACAGGUGGUGCAUGGUUGUCGUCAGCUCGUGUCGUGAGAUGUUGGGUUAAGUCCCGCAACGAGCGCAACCCUUAUCUUCAGUAGCCAUCAUUCAGUUGGGCACUCUGGAGAGACUGCCGUGGAUAACACGGAGGAAGGUGGGGAUAACGUCAAAUCAUCAUGCCCCUUAUGUCUUGGGCUACACACGUGCUACAAUGGCUGGUAACAAAGUGAUGCGAGACGGCGACGUUAAGCAAAUCACAAAAACCCAGUCCCAGUUCGGAUUGUAGUCUGCAACUCGACUACAUGAAGCUGGAAUCGCUAGUAAUCGCGAAUCAGCAUGUCGCGGUGAAUACGUUCCCGGGCCUUGUACACACCGCCCGUCACACCAUGGGAGUUGGAAGCACCCGAAGUCGGUGACCUAACCGUAAGGAAGGAGCCGCCGAAGGUG
RNAcentral lists this ribosomal RNA (1440 nucleotides) under uncultured organism. RNAcentral's name for it is "16S ribosomal RNA". It matches the Rfam family "Bacterial small subunit ribosomal RNA". The record is from RNAcentral.